UUUGGCCCAGAUCGUUUACCGUGAAAAAAUUAGAGUGUUCAAAGCAGGCAGAUCCAAUUUUCUGCCACCGAAUACAUUAGCAUGGGAUAAUGGAAUAGGACCCUGUCCUCCUAUUUUCAGUUGGUUUUGGCAGCGCGAGGACUAGGGUAAUGAUUAAUAGGGAUAGUUGGGGGCAUUAAUAUUUAAUUGUCAGAGGUGAAAUUCUUGGAUUUAUGAAAGAUUAACUUCUGCGAAAGCAUCUGCCAAGGAUGUUUUCAUUAAUCAAGAACGAAAGUUAGGGGAUCGAAGACGAUCAGAUACCGUCGUAGUCUUAACCAUAAACGAUGCCGACCAGCGAUUAGGAGACGUUGAAUACAAAACACCACCAUCGGCGCGGUCGUCCUUGGCGUCUGUCCCUUUCAACGGGGGCAGGCGCGAGGGCUGGU
This 425-nucleotide ribosomal RNA is filed under the name Acanthamoeba genotype T4. Its description in RNAcentral is "SSU rRNA". It matches the Rfam family "Eukaryotic small subunit ribosomal RNA", at positions 737 to 1100 of the family's 1831-position model. The record is from RNAcentral. Lineage: Eukaryota; Discosea; Longamoebia; Acanthamoebidae.